This 441-nucleotide ribosomal RNA is filed under the name uncultured Devosia sp. Its description in RNAcentral is "bacterial SSU rRNA". It matches the Rfam family "Bacterial small subunit ribosomal RNA", at positions 337 to 795 of the family's 1533-position model. Lineage: Bacteria; Pseudomonadati; Pseudomonadota; Alphaproteobacteria; Hyphomicrobiales; Devosiaceae. The record is from RNAcentral.
UACUACGGGAGGCAGCAGUGGGGAAUAUUGGACAAUGGGCGCAAGCCUGAUCCAGCCAUGCCGCGUGAGUGAUGAAGGCCUUAGGGUUGUAAAGCUCUUUCAGUGGGGACGAUAAUGACGGUACCCACAGAAGAAGCCCCGGCUAACUUCGUGCCAGCAGCCGCGGUAAUACGAAGGGGGCUAGCGUUGUUCGGAUUUACUGGGCGUAAAGCGCACGUAGGCGGAUCGUUAAGUCGGGGGUGAAAUCCUGGAGCUCAACUCCAGAACUGCCUUCGAUACUGGCGAUCUUGAGUCCGGAAGAGGUGAGUGGAACUCCUAGUGUAGAGGUGGAAUUCGUAGAUAUUAGGAAGAACACCAGUGGCGAAGGCGGCUCACUGGUCCGGUACUGACGCUGAGGUGCGAAAGCGUGGGGAGCAAACAGGAUUAGAUACCCCUGUAGUC